Molecule: ribosomal RNA, 504 nt
Filed under: uncultured bacterium
Lineage: Bacteria
Description: partial 16S ribosomal RNA
Rfam family: Bacterial small subunit ribosomal RNA
Source: RNAcentral
AUUGAACGCUGGCGGCAGGCCUAACACAUGCAAGUCGAACGGUAGCACAGAGAGCUUGCUCUCGGGUGACGAGUGGCGGACGGGUGAGUAAUGUCUGGGAAACUGCCUGAUGGAGGGGGAUAACUACUGGAAACGGUAGCUAAUACCGCAUAAUGUCGCAAGACCAAAGAGGGGGACCUUCGGGCCUCUUGCCAUCGGAUGUGCCCAGAUGGGAUUAGCUUGUUGGUGAGGUAAAAGCUCACCAAGGCGACGAUCCCUAGCUGGUCUGAGAGGAUGACCAGCCACGCUGGAACUGAGACACGGUCCAGACUCCUACGGGAGGCAGCAGUGGGGAAUAUUGCACCAUGGGCGCAAGCCUGAUGCAGCCAUGCCGCGUGUGUGAAGAAGGCCUUCGGGUUGUAAAGCACUUUCAGCGGGGAGGAAGGCGGUGAGUUUAAUAAGCUCACCGAUUGACGUUACCCGCAGAAGAAGCACCGGCUAACUCCGUGCCAGCAGCCGCAGUAA